RNAcentral lists this ribosomal RNA (296 nucleotides) under Salmonella enterica. Its description in RNAcentral is "partial 23S ribosomal RNA". It matches the Rfam family "Bacterial large subunit ribosomal RNA", at positions 490 to 686 of the family's 2925-position model. The record is from RNAcentral. Lineage: Bacteria; Pseudomonadati; Pseudomonadota; Gammaproteobacteria; Enterobacterales; Enterobacteriaceae. RNAcentral also lists the same sequence under 2 other names.
GUGAACCAGUACCGUGAGGGAAAGGCGAAAAGAACCCCGGCGAGGGGAGUGAAAAAGAACCUGAAACCGUGUACGUACAAGCAGUGGGAGCCCCACCACCAAAGCAUUCUCUGGUGUUGAAGGCCCUGCAAAGCAGCAUCGCGGUGGCGGAGCGUCGUUUGCGACGCCCAACACACAAAACAAGCGGUGAGUGCUUUGGGGUGGGGUGACUGCGUACCUUUUGUAUAAUGGGUCAGCGACUUAUAUUCUGUAGCAAGGUUAACCGAAUAGGGGAGCCGGAGGGAAACCGAGUCUUA